CCUGGAACAGCAACAGCCAAUGACAGCACAGAAGGAAAGUUAAGCGUGAGAAAGCCGACGCCAGCGCGGCGUUCCUCGGGUCUCCGCGGGAGCCUGAAAAUUGAGGUCACAAAUCCAGUAUGAAAACUGACAGCUGUCAGGAAGGAGGUUAUUGAAUUCAUUGGAGAAUGAGUGCUGUCCCAAACUUGGAACCAAGAAAUUGAUACCUGCUUGUUCGGAAACUCUGUAGUCCCUGUCUAAAAAGCUUCACCUCUUGCUUGCUAAGGAACAGAGUGUGAUGAAUUACAACAGCAAAACCAGGCCCCUGUGUUCUGUCCCCAGGAUGGCGGACAUCCCAUUCUCACACAAAUGCUUUGUACAAUGCGGGUCCCGAUUGGCAGUGUUGGCCUGGAGAUGAAAUUCUCGAUGGCUGUGUAUGAGAGAGAAGAGUGGAGCAAGAUUGGAGCAAGAGACCAGAAGCCAGUCUAUCACCUGUUUCUCAGGGACCUCACUUCACCUCUUUAAGUUUCAGUGUCUCCGUCUGUUGGUGGAGAGUGACACACAGCACCUUCACUCUCAGAGUCGUAAAUGUCUUUGUAAAGCACGGGAGAUGCUAGAGAGGCCUGCAAGACCCCAUGGUUCCCUUUAUGUAGCAAAAUAAAACCCCAUCUGAUAGUCUAAAAAUUAUAGAACUUUUUUUUAAAGAAGAUGAUCUUAUACCUGAAAAAGCACUUGCAUUUUUUUUUAAUUCAUCAGCAGAUGGUGUUCCAUAAA
Long non-coding RNA from Myotis brandtii (Brandt's bat), 753 nucleotides. RefSeq lists it as uncharacterized. The record is from RefSeq and is a predicted model, not a curated record. Lineage: Eukaryota; Metazoa; Chordata; Mammalia; Chiroptera; Vespertilionidae. The transcript is spliced from 5 exons.